This 3211-nucleotide unclassified non-coding RNA is filed under the name Monomorium pharaonis (pharaoh ant). RNAcentral's name for it is "dihydrolipoyllysine-residue succinyltransferase component of 2-oxoglutarate dehydrogenase complex, mitochondrial, transcript variant X1". Lineage: Eukaryota; Metazoa; Arthropoda; Insecta; Hymenoptera; Formicidae. The record is from RNAcentral.
UAAUUGUUAUGUAUUAAACAUGAUGUCACAAUAACAUUAUUACAUUUAUGCUGCAUUUACGAAAUUUUUAUGUUACGCUCAUUGACGUUAUCAAAAUUACGUAAUUGUUAUGUAUUAAACAUGAUGGCGCAAUAACAUUACAAUAGUAACAUCACAUUUACGAAACAUUAACAUUUGGCUUAUUGACGUCAACAAAAUUAUGUAAAUGUUACGUAACUAUACAACGAAAAAGUGACAACACAGGCAUACGUAACAGAUAUAGUCUCGUUACGUCAAUGACAUACUUGUCACAUUAUUAGUUCGUUGUGCUAGUCUGUAACAUUUAUGUGCAAUAUGUUUUAUAAAUGUUCCGUAAAUGCUCACAGCGUGUUCAUUGGGAACAGAGUAAGAAAAUUGCGCAACGCCGAACGUGACAAUUAAAAAUAAGCACACUAACAUAAUUACCUACAUAAUUAAAAUAGGAUAAGCAGAAUUCAGACGCAACAACCUUGCCGAAUAUCAGGAAUGCUGAUCGGCAAGGAUGCUCGCUAACCUAGAAAGCUGGAAUAAAAAGAAAGCGAUCGAAUACAAGACGGACUCAGUCAUAAUCAAUCUGUCGCGUUAUUCUGUCACGUAACACUGCUGUAAAAGUAAUCCAUCGAGUGAAGUUAAGUAGUGAAAUAAAGUGUACAUAUUAUCCACGUCGAGAGUGCCUUAUUUAAAUCCCAGUCCCAGAGAGCGCGCUCUCGAGCAAGCAGAGUGCAGCUAAUAAUAAGUGACCAGCGGUGCGAAGGGUUCCUGACGGAGGACGGACCUCGAAGUGCCCCGAAGGGCACGACUUUAUUCUUGAAUUAAUUAAUAAUAUAUUAUUAGUUUAAUGUAACCCAUACGGCACAAGAGAUAAUCGGAACACGAACAAAGGAACGAAUAAAGAUGAGUCAACGAAAUUGACAUGAGUAACGUUUAUAAGUUCCAAAAAACCCAUCAAAAAGCUUUUAAGGAAAAAUUUAGAUUUACACUAGGCACUACUAGCAUAAUUGUCAUGGCUAGAUGCCAUCAAAAAUCGGCCAAUAAUGAAUGCCGAAAUCAAAAAUGAAAAAAUUGUCUAUCGAAAUUAUAUAGACAUUGGCGUGGCGAUCGCCACGCCAAAAAAACUUGUGGUGCCAAUAAUACACAGUGCCGAAAAAAGAACAUUAUUUGAGAUUGAAAUCGCUUUGGCGAAUUUUACAAAAAAGAUUGAAAACAACAAAAUUACAAUAAAAGAUACAAAUGGAGGUACUUUUAUCAUAUUCAACAGCAAAUCGCUAUUAAGUACCCGUAUAGUCAAUCCGACACAAAGCGCUUGUCUUGGGACGCAUGGCGUCAUUAAAAGACUUGUUGUUAUCAACAGAAAGGUAAAGAAAUUCGUAUUAAACCUUUAAACAAUUUUUUAAGUUUUGAAAAAAGAUUGAAAACAAAACUAGUACUGUCAAGGAUACGAGGUUGAAACUCGAGAAGUAUGAUUACGAAACCGUGCAUCGAGCAGGCAAAGGCAAUGUCAAUGCCGAUGCUCUGAGCCGGUAUCCAGUUACGGAUAGCGCGAGUGUCAAUGCAAUUACGCCAACAGAAGAGAGAGAGAAGAAGCGACGAGAGAGUAUACAGAAGAGGAAAAAUGAUAAAUACCAUUUGAAUAUCAUGACGAUGGAGGGACACCAGUUGACUACGAUCAACGAAAUCGACAUAAGGUAAUUAAUUUCAAGAAUUAUUCGCACGUACCCUUAAUAGAAUUAGAUUAAUGCAUAACUGGCGAGGAAUAACUAGAGUUAUAGAAGAAUAUAUUAGUAAAUGUGAAUUUUGCCAGAAAAAUAAACUAAGCCAAAGAACAACAAUGCCUCUAACUAUCACAGACACUCCUGAGAGGCCCUUCGAAAAAUGUGCAUUAGACAUAGUGGGACCACUGCCGGUAACUUCUUGUUUUUUUUUGUAUGAUAUUGUUACGUGUGCAUUGCGUUAACCAAGAGUUUUAACUUUUUUACAGAUUACAAUUUUCAAGAAGUAUUUUGGGGGAAAUUCCCCCAAUUAAUUGUGUGCCCGAGGGCACAAGAAAAAAAAAACAACAAAAAAUGAGCCGCGCGCACCAACACGUUACGCAAAAUUUAAAAGAGACAACCAAUGCAAAAAUUUUAUUGACUACGGUCAAUGAAAUUGAUAUGAGGACCACCUUACUAAAUUUACUAAGGCUAUACCUGUAGAAAAUCAAGAAGCAAGUACAGUAGCAGAAGCCUUCGUAACAAAAAUAGUAGUGGAGUAUGGAAUAUUCCGAGAAAAUUCUAACAAACCAGGGAACCAACUUCACAAGCGAAAUGUUCAAGAACACUUGUAAAUUAUUAAAAAUAGAGAAAAUACAGACCACGGCGUAUCACCCGGAAAGUAAUGACCCUGGUAACACAAUCUGAUAGCUCAGAUACGUCCCAAAGAUGUGCGCAAGAAAACAAUCCAAAAUUGCGACAGAGGUGCAUAAUAUCUCUUAUGAAACGAGUACUUACUGUACUAUUGCAGCAGUCUGCUAUAAGAAGCUACUAUGAAAUUUGAUACAAUGUGUUAAAAGUAGACGUACAGCAGAAGUGUGAAAACAACAUUGAAGUAUCUGCUCGACAGAAAAAUAAUAGCAAAUCACGCUAAACCCUUCAUGCACAUUUGCAGCAGAGUAACAACAGUUUUUGUCACGUAAAAUGCUGAGUUUCGAGUACAAAUUCGAGCGGCAGAAACGCGAAAAGAACGUGCAAGCAUUUGCCCGUCAGAAAAAGAGCAGUCAAGUGUGCUACACUCUUUAAUCAUAUUGACAGCAAAAUUCCAUAAGUGUAUGUCGCGUAAAUUGUUGUUUUUGCCUUGUAGAUCUGAAUCACAGAAAUGCGAAAAAAACGUGAAAGCAUCUGUUCGACAAAAAAAUAAUAGCAAAUCGCGCUAGACUUUUCACGCACAUUUGCAGCAGAAUAACAACAGUUUUUGCCACUUAAAAUGCUGACGAAUUUCGAGUAUAGAUUCGAGCAGCAAAAACGCGUAAAAAAUAGGCAAGCAUUUGUCCGUCAGAUUAUAUAAAUUGCUUAGCGCGUUAGAUCUUUCAAAUUUAUAGCAUAAUUACAAAAUAUUUGUCGCUUAAAUUACCGAGAUUCAAGAAGGAUUAUAGCCUCAGAAAUGUAUAGAGAUUUGUACAAACACCAUGCUCAUCAAAUAAAAUAUUAUAUAAAUGAAA